GCACUGCUGAGGAGGCCCACAAUAGAACGAAACAGCUGUCCAGUGC
Molecule: non-coding RNA, 46 nt
Organism: Schistosoma rodhaini
Lineage: Eukaryota; Metazoa; Platyhelminthes; Trematoda; Strigeidida; Schistosomatidae
Source: Rfam